This 69-nucleotide transfer RNA is filed under the name Dicotyles tajacu (collared peccary). RNAcentral describes it as "Pecari tajacu (collared peccary) tRNA-Asp". It matches the Rfam family "tRNA". Rfam says of the family: Transfer RNA (tRNA) molecules are approximately 80 nucleotides in length. Their secondary structure includes four short double-helical elements and three loops (D, anti-codon, and T loops). The record is from RNAcentral. Lineage: Eukaryota; Metazoa; Chordata; Mammalia; Artiodactyla; Tayassuidae.
GAGAUAUUAGUAAAAACAUUACAUAACUUUGUCAAGGUUAAAUUAUAAGUGAGAAUCCUAUAUAUCUCU